UACCCAUAGUGAUGACACAUACUUGACAACUCCUUAAAUCUCUUCCAAAAUUGAUAUAAAGUCUCACUAUCCUUUUGUGCAAAUGUAGAGAUUUGUCUUUUUAAAGCA
This is a small nucleolar RNA of Juglans regia (Persian walnut), 108 nucleotides long. The record is from RefSeq and is a predicted model, not a curated record. Lineage: Eukaryota; Viridiplantae; Streptophyta; Magnoliopsida; Fagales; Juglandaceae.